Molecule: non-coding RNA, 78 nt
Organism: Schistosoma margrebowiei
Lineage: Eukaryota; Metazoa; Platyhelminthes; Trematoda; Strigeidida; Schistosomatidae
Source: Rfam
AGUUUCCUGAACCUGUGCUGAGAUUUUGUUAGACGCCAGACUAUCAAGAUUGAUUAGACUCUAAAGAUAAGUGAAGCA